Molecule: ribosomal RNA, 116 nt
Filed under: uncultured eukaryote
Lineage: Eukaryota
Description: partial small subunit ribosomal RNA
Rfam family: Bacterial small subunit ribosomal RNA
Source: RNAcentral
GUUGGUUUUACCCGAAGGCGCCGCGCUAACCGCAAGGGGGCAGACGACCACGGUAGGGUCAGCGACUGGGGUGAAGUCGUAACAAGGUAGCCGUAGGUGAACCUGCAGAAGGAUCA